UGUGAAUCUAUUUUCAACGCCAGAGGAACAACUAUGGCUCCAGGAGGUAGAUGGCAAGUCCUAUCAAGAAGGCCAGAGGGGACAUCAAAAUCUGUUUCUUCUUUCCAAGAAGCUUACAAAUUCCUUGAAAACGGAAUCUGGUUCUUUGAAAGGGUCUUUCAAUACGGUUGUGAUGCUAUUUGAACACCUACCCAGAAUUCAACAGAAAGGGAUAAAAAAGCAGAAGGAAUCAGACCGCAGAAGGAUCUCAACUUCUGCACAAGACGCAUUGCAUAUCCUGAUUGGUGAAGCAGAUUCCUUGAAAAUAACCCAUCUUAUUCGUACAGUUUGG
Molecule: long non-coding RNA, 331 nt
Filed under: Equus asinus (donkey)
Lineage: Eukaryota; Metazoa; Chordata; Mammalia; Perissodactyla; Equidae
Description: lncRNA (ENSEASG00005029314.1)
Source: RNAcentral